GCGAGGGAACAUUACCGGCGUGCAUGUGAAAUGUUAGAGUGUGUCCGAGGGGGAGAGGUAUGUAGGUUCAUUAUACCAGUUAAAGGUUUAGGAGAGCUGUAGGACAAUAUGGUAAAGCGAGUAUGGGAUGGUCUAGUUCUUGAGUUAAUAGCAUUGGGGGACUCCGAUAUUGGUGGUCGCUACUUAGAAAGUGUAGGUUGAUCGCCGAUAGUCGUGAUAGUCAGAAGACCCCGACAAGCAACGGGUUGGGUCACCGAUAUUGGUGACGGGAGAGAAUGGUAUCUGUGUGUGUGAGUGGCCUAUUAGGAGUCGAGAGAUAGAAGGUUGAGACUUGGUCGCCGAUAUUGGUGACAAGUAAAAACAUUUAUACUCAUGAUGUAACCUCGGAAGGCGGUCAUAUUUGAUAGGUAAUGUAAUUAAUUUACUGGGGCAUG
RNAcentral lists this long non-coding RNA (434 nucleotides) under Carica papaya (papaya). RNAcentral describes it as "long non-coding RNA (CPAP_LNC013964)". The record is from RNAcentral. Lineage: Eukaryota; Viridiplantae; Streptophyta; Magnoliopsida; Brassicales; Caricaceae.